CCCUUAGACGUUCUGGGCCGCACGCGCGCUACACUGACGGAGCCAGCGAGCUUUUCCUUAACCGAGAGGUUUGGGUAACCUUGUGAAACUCCGUCGUGCUGGGGAUAGAGCAUUGUAAUUAUUGCUCUUCAACGAGGAAUUCCUAGUAAGCGCAAGUCAUCAGCUUGCGUUGAUUACGUCCCUGCCCUUUGUACACACCGCCCGUCGCUAGUACCGAUUGAAUGGCUUAGUGAGGCUUCAGGAUUUGCUUAGAUCGAGGGGCAACUCUCUUUCAGAGCGGAGAAUCUAGUCAAACUUGGUCAUUUAGAGGAACUAAAAGUCGUAACA
Molecule: ribosomal RNA, 327 nt
Filed under: uncultured eukaryote
Lineage: Eukaryota
Description: partial 18S ribosomal RNA
Rfam family: Eukaryotic small subunit ribosomal RNA
Source: RNAcentral